Phodopus roborovskii (desert hamster) is the source of this 108-nucleotide small nuclear RNA. Lineage: Eukaryota; Metazoa; Chordata; Mammalia; Rodentia; Cricetidae. The record is from RefSeq and is a predicted model, not a curated record.
AUAUUCACUUUUGCAGCACUUAUAUUAAAACUAGAAUGAUACAGAGAAAAUUAGCAUGGCCCCUACACAAGAAUGACACUCAUAUUCAUGAAGAGGUCCCAUAGUUUU